UACGGAGGGAGCAAGCGUUGUUCGGAUUUACUGGGCGUAAAGGGCGCGUAGGCGGCCACCGCAAGUCGACUGUGAAAUCUCCGGGCUUAACCCGGAAAGGUCAGCCGAUACUGCGGGGCUAGAGUGCAGAAGGGGCAACUGGAAUUCUCGGUGUAGCGGUGAAAUGCGUAGAUAUCGAGAGGAACACCUGCGGCGAAGGCGGGUUGCUGGGCUGACACUGACGCUGAUGCGCGAAAGCUAGGGGAGCGAACGGG
This 254-nucleotide ribosomal RNA is filed under the name uncultured bacterium. RNAcentral's name for it is "partial 16S ribosomal RNA". It matches the Rfam family "Bacterial small subunit ribosomal RNA", at positions 524 to 776 of the family's 1533-position model. The record is from RNAcentral.